This is a long non-coding RNA of Gopherus flavomarginatus (Mexican gopher tortoise), 253 nucleotides long. RefSeq lists it as uncharacterized. NCBI's taxonomy places the organism in Eukaryota, Metazoa, Chordata, Testudines, Testudinidae. The record is from RefSeq and is a predicted model, not a curated record. The transcript has 3 exons.
CAGGUCUCCUUCCCCGGUUUGCUCUCGCGUUCCCCGAACCCCCGUGCAAGCAGGUCUCCUUCCCUGCGGUUUGCUCUCGCGUUCCCCGAACCCCCGUGCAAGCAGGUCUCCUUCCCUGCGGUUUGCUCUCGCGUUCCCCGAACCCCCGUGCAAGCAGGUCUCCUUCCCUGCGGUUUGCUCUCGCGUUCCCCGAACCCCCCUUGAAGCCGCCCAACAGCGCUGCAGUGUGGCCACAUCUAACACCACUUGCAGC